GUGGGGUGCCCUGUGUUUGGGACACUAAAGGGCUCAGCUGCUAAUGGAGGAGACCCGCAACUGGGAGGCUUGAGAGUGGUCACCCUAGGAGCAGAAGAGGGUCUUCUGGAUGUCUGGCAGUUUCAGAUCGCCUCGUCCACAGAGUGGGGAGAAAUUUGCAGUCAGAAAACAAAGCUGUCAUGUUUAUCCAUUUUUCGAGUGAAGCCCAGAGAAAUGUGGGUGUGGCCUCGAGCACUGGUCAUUAAAAGUGAGUGAGAGCC
This 260-nucleotide long non-coding RNA is filed under the name Rattus norvegicus (Norway rat). RNAcentral describes it as "long non-coding RNA NONRATT027260". Lineage: Eukaryota; Metazoa; Chordata; Mammalia; Rodentia; Muridae. The record is from RNAcentral.